AAAGGUGGGCGCGCAAAGGUCAAGGUGAAGGGAUAUUUCACUUGCUUUUAGCACUUAUUUCAAUAUUGCGGACUGACAGUAAACAGGGGGUGUAUGACAGGAAGUCAUGAGUCACAGCUUCAAACCCGUGGAUUUUCUCUUCUGCAGCAUGCUGAGUUAUUUAGGUUGCACCCUCUCACUAAGUGCUCUCUAGAUCACCGGAAAAAUGUGAAUAACAGCAGGAACGCGAACUUCAAAGAAGACAGAAUCGCAAGUAAGCAACAUUACAAAAAAAUAACCUCCUUGGCAGAGGUAAGACUUCUUUUAUGAUUCCUUUUAUUUCAGAUUAAAUGAUUGUACUGGUGUUUUCCAUGUAAUACAGACAUUCUGAUAUCAGAUGUAUCUGCUAAUUCAUUACACUCCAUUUCCAUCUUCAGCUGGACACUGCCUCAACUCUAGUGAGUGCAGUGGGCAGUGGACACUGGAGAGGACAGUCAAUCAAUCAAUCAAUAACACAUGUUUGCUGAGGUUUCUCUAGUUGUUGUUCCUGAAUGGUAGGUACAGUGUCCUGGUCCCUCAGUCCUCCUGUCCUGCCUGCUCCAGGCUUUGCCUUCUCUCUGUCCUUCACUCUCUCCUCUCUGUGUGCUUGUGUGUCUGUGUCAAUGUUCAUGGGAAGGACUCAUUGUGGGUUCCCGCCUCUGGCUGAACACACCUGCAACAAUCAAUCACCUGUUCUCGAUGAUCUCGUUAAGAAGCACUAUUUAAGAGGGCGGCUGAGGUUCAUUCUUCUCUGGAUCGUUGAACUGUGCUGUUAGUAAAGCCGUGGCUCUUUUGUCUUUUCCUUGCCUUUAUAAACUCGCAACUAAUCUCAUCCUUCUUCCUCUUGUAUACAGACCUUCCCUGGAUUUUCCCUGUCCUGGAGUUCUUGGAGAGACUGCUUGAGCUGAGUCAGUGUGGAUCCCCUGUUCCCCCUUCGUACUACCUGUAUAUAUCACCCUGGCGUUUCACUGUAAAUAAAUGCACUAAACUUGAUCCCUCUGAGUCCUGCCAUUGAGUCCACUCCAUCCAGCAUUCCUGACAUAUAGUAGCCAAACAGUUAUAUAUUAAUAAUAAAUAAAAGAUCACACUUGGAACUCAGGGAAAAGCAAAACGAUCUUCAGCGCCAUUCUUUACGUCUGGUGGCUUUA
This is a long non-coding RNA of Astatotilapia calliptera (eastern happy), 1166 nucleotides long. Lineage: Eukaryota; Metazoa; Chordata; Actinopteri; Cichliformes; Cichlidae. The record is from Ensembl.